RNAcentral lists this ribosomal RNA (215 nucleotides) under Achromobacter marplatensis. Its description in RNAcentral is "partial 16S ribosomal RNA". It matches the Rfam family "Bacterial small subunit ribosomal RNA", at positions 1323 to 1533 of the family's 1533-position model. The record is from RNAcentral. Lineage: Bacteria; Pseudomonadati; Pseudomonadota; Betaproteobacteria; Burkholderiales; Alcaligenaceae.
AAGUCGGAAUCGCUAGUAAUCGCGGAUCAGCAUGUCGCGGUGAAUACGUUCCCGGGUCUUGUACACACCGCCCGUCACACCAUGGGAGUGGGUUUUACCAGAAGUAGUUAGCCUAACCGCAAGGGGGGCGAUUACCACGGUAGGAUUCAUGACUGGGGUGAAGUCGUAACAAGGUAGCCGUAUCGGAAGGUGCGGCUGGAUCACCUCCUUUCAGA